AACGAACGCUGGCGGCAUGCCUAACACAUGCAAGUCGAAUGAGACCUUCGGGUCUAGUGGCGCACGGGUGCGUAACGCGUGGGAACCUGCCCUUAGGUUCGGAAUAACUCCCCGAAAGGGGUGCUAAUACCGGAUAAUGUCUUCGGACCAAAGAUUUAUCGCCUUUGGAUGGGCCCGCGUUGGAUUAGCUAGUUGGUAGGGUAAAAGCCUACCAAGGCGACGAUCCAUAGCUGGUCUGAGAGGAUGAUCAGCCACACUGGGACUGAGACACGGCCCAGACUCCUACGGGAGGCAGCAGUGGGGAAUAUUGGACAAUGGGCGAAAGCCUGAUCCAGCAAUGCCGCGUGAGUGAUGAAGGCCUUAGGGUUGUAAAGCUCUUUUACCCGGGAUGAUAAUGACGGUACCGGGAGAAUAAGCUCCGGCUAACUCCGUG
This 433-nucleotide ribosomal RNA is filed under the name uncultured bacterium. RNAcentral describes it as "partial 16S ribosomal RNA". It matches the Rfam family "Bacterial small subunit ribosomal RNA", at positions 29 to 507 of the family's 1533-position model. The record is from RNAcentral.